This 245-nucleotide ribosomal RNA is filed under the name Listeria monocytogenes. RNAcentral describes it as "partial 23S ribosomal RNA". It matches the Rfam family "Bacterial large subunit ribosomal RNA", at positions 2343 to 2587 of the family's 2925-position model. Lineage: Bacteria; Bacillati; Bacillota; Bacilli; Caryophanales; Listeriaceae. The record is from RNAcentral.
CGCAGAGUGUAAAGGCACAAGGGAGCUUGACUGCGAGACUGACAAGUCGAGCAGGGACGAAAGUCGGGCUUAGUGAUCCGGUGGUUCCGCAUGGAAGGGCCAUCGCUCAACGGAUAAAAGCUCCCCCGGGGAUAACAGGCUUAUCUCCCCCAAGAGUCCACAUCGACGGGGAGGUUUGGCACCUCGAUGUCGGCUCGUCGCAUCCUGGGGCUGUAGUCGGUCCCAAGGGUUGGGCUGUUCGCCCA